GGGCCCGCACAAGCAGCGGAGCAUGUGGUUUAAUUCGAAGCAACGCGAAGAACCUUACCAGGUCUUGACAUUGAGACAAAGCGGUAGAGAUACCGUGUCCAGCAAUGGAGUCGAAAACAGGUGGUGCAUGGUUGUCGUCAGCUCGUGUCGUGAGAUGUUGGGUUAAGUCCCGCAACGAGCGCAACCCUUAUGAUCAGUUACUAACGGGUAAAGCCGAGGACUCUGAUGAGACCGCCGGGGACAACUCGGAGGAAGGUGGGGACGACGUCAAAUCAUCAUGCCCCUUAUGACCUGGGCUACACACGUGCUACAAUGGUGGUAACAAAGAGGUGCGAACUCGUAAGAGCAAGCGAAUCUCAAAAAAGCCAUCUCAGUUCGGAUUGUGGGCUGCAACCCGCCCACAUGAAGUCGGAGUUGCUAGUAAUCGCGGAUCAGCAUGCCGCGGUGAAUACGUUCCCGGGCCUU
This 465-nucleotide ribosomal RNA is filed under the name uncultured bacterium. RNAcentral describes it as "bacterial SSU rRNA". It matches the Rfam family "Bacterial small subunit ribosomal RNA", at positions 917 to 1382 of the family's 1533-position model. The record is from RNAcentral.